GUUGGAUGUAGUUACUCUUCACUGCUUGAUGAGACGCACAUAUCCCAACUUCAUGACAUUUUCCCAUAGCGGAAAUGUUCACAAAUUCGUGAGGGGCUCAUUAUCGGUGUUUUCUCAAAAACUAGAUCCCGCUUCGAUUAUCAAUCCUGGUACCACUUGAAGGUCAUUUCAUUGCGGGAUGCGGUAUCGGUAGUCUUAUUGAGCCGGCAAGUUCAACAAAGGCAACCUAUUCCGUCAAGGAUCGGUGGCAUUGGGCAUUGGGGGCAGGCUUCAUUCAGAUAAAUAAGUCUACACAAUAAUGGACCUCCCGAAUUCGAUCUAGCAGUCGAAAUCGGUGCACUUAGAUGGAUUGCUAUAUUUCUGGAGCAAACAAGCACGAUCACUGCCCAAAAGUCUACACAUUUUCUCAGUCAUUAACUAACUAGCAAUACUACAGCUGUCCAUCAGCAGCGCAUUCUGGGAAGGCUUGACUUGAUUAAACCCCAUUAAGCCUGGCAAAGUGCCCAGGUAUUGGCGCCAG
RNAcentral lists this small RNA (520 nucleotides) under Histoplasma capsulatum. RNAcentral describes it as "hypothetical RNA". RNAcentral also lists the same sequence under 1 other name. Lineage: Eukaryota; Fungi; Ascomycota; Eurotiomycetes; Onygenales; Ajellomycetaceae. The record is from RNAcentral.